Molecule: long non-coding RNA, 613 nt
Filed under: Monodelphis domestica (gray short-tailed opossum)
Lineage: Eukaryota; Metazoa; Chordata; Mammalia; Didelphimorphia; Didelphidae
Description: lncRNA (ENSMODG00000032899.2)
Source: RNAcentral
CUAAGAGGGAAAUCUGGAAUGUGUCAAGUGACAAUGUUUUAAUAUGGAAGAUACCACUCUCGAUCUGGGCCAAGAGAAGAGAGCAGAGGUCGGUCAAAUAGCAGAAAAUUUCCAUAUUCAAACCUUUGACACUCUCCUUAUCAAUGAAGAGUUAAUAUUUAAAGAUUAUGGGCAAAAAUCAAAAAAGUGAUUUUCUUGAAAUCUUACUUUGUUCAUCUAUAAAAGGAAGUGGCUAAAUAAUGAAAUAGAAGAAUUCCAUGUGAACUGAAACAACCUCCAGGAAUUGAUACAGAGCAAAAGGAGUAGAACCAGGAGAACAUUGUACAUAAAGACGAAUACACUGUGGCACAAUUGAAUGCAAUGGACUUUUCUACUAGCAACAAAGCAAUGAUCCAGGACAGUUCUGAGGGACUUAGGAGAGAAUGCUAUCCACAUCCAGAGAAAGAACUAUGGUAGUAGAAACAGAAGAAAAACAACUAUCUGAUCACAGUUCAGAGGGGAUAUAAUUGGGGAUGUAGACUUUAAACAAUCACCCUAGUGCAUGAAUCAUGUAUCCAUUGAAAAAUAAUCUAAAUUAAAUAAAAAUUUCAAAUUAAAAAAAUAAAAGGAAGUG